This 386-nucleotide ribosomal RNA is filed under the name uncultured bacterium. RNAcentral describes it as "bacterial SSU rRNA". It matches the Rfam family "Bacterial small subunit ribosomal RNA", at positions 29 to 409 of the family's 1533-position model. The record is from RNAcentral.
AUUGAACGCUGGCGGCGUGCUUAACACAUGCAAGUCGAUCGGUAACAGGUGUAGCAAUACAUGCUGACGAGAGGCGGACGGGUGAGUAAUGCUUGGGAAUCUGCCUAUUAGUGGGGGACGAACCCGGGAAACGUACGGGCGUAAUACCGCAUACGCUCUACGGAGGAAAGCCGGGGACCGCAAGGCCUGGCGCUAAUAGAUGAGCCCAAGUCGGAUUAGCUAGUUGGUAGGGUAACGGCCUACCAAGGCGACAAUCCGUAGCUGGUCUGAGAGGACGACCAGCCACACCGGAACUGAGACACGGUCCGGACUCCUACGGGAGGCAGCAGUGGGGAAGUAUUGGACAAUGGGGGCGAACCCUGAUCCAGCGACGCCGCGUGGGUGAA